CAGGCCUAACACAUGCAAGUCGAACGCCCCGCAAGGGAGUGGCGCACGGGUGAGUAACGCGUGGGAAUGUGCCCUUGGGUGCGGAGACAACGUCGGGAAACUGACGCUAAUACCGCAUAAUGACUACGGUCCAAAGAUUUAUCGCCCAAGGAUCAGCCCGCGUGAGAUUAGGUAGUUGGUGAGGUAAAAGCUCACCAAGCCGACGAUCUCUAGCUGGUCUGAGAGGAUGAUCAGCCACACUGGGACUGAGACACGGCCCAGACUCCUACGGGAGGCAGCAGUGGGGAAUAUUGGACAAUGGGGGCAACCCUGAUCCAGCCAUACCGCGUGUGUCAAGAAGGCCUUAGGGUUGUAAAGCACUUUCAGUGGGGAGGAAAAGUUGCCGGCGAAUACCCGGCAACCGUGACGCUACCUGCAGAAGAAGCACCGGCAAACUCCGUGCCAGCAGCCGCGGUAAU
RNAcentral lists this ribosomal RNA (458 nucleotides) under uncultured Alphaproteobacteria bacterium. RNAcentral describes it as "bacterial SSU rRNA". It matches the Rfam family "Bacterial small subunit ribosomal RNA", at positions 43 to 524 of the family's 1533-position model. The record is from RNAcentral. Lineage: Bacteria; Pseudomonadati; Pseudomonadota; Alphaproteobacteria.